RNAcentral lists this ribosomal RNA (372 nucleotides) under uncultured organism. RNAcentral's name for it is "bacterial SSU rRNA". It matches the Rfam family "Bacterial small subunit ribosomal RNA", at positions 526 to 896 of the family's 1533-position model. The record is from RNAcentral.
CGGGGGGGGCAAGCGUUGUUCGGAAUUACUGGGCGUAAAGGGCUCGUAGGUGGCCAACUAAGUCGGACGUGAAAUCCCUCGGCUUAACCGGGGAACUGCGUCCGAUACUGGUUGGCUUGAGUUUGGGAGAGGGAUGCGGAAUUCCAGGUGUAGCGGUGAAAUGCGUAGAUAUCUGGAGGAACACCGGUGGCGAAGGCGGCAUCCUGGACCAAUACUGACGCUGAGGAGCGAAAGCCAGGGGAGCAAACGGGAUUAGAUACCCCGGUAGUCCUGGCCCUAAACGAUGAAUGCUUGGUGUGGCGGGUAUCGAUCCCUGCCGUGCCGAAGCUAACGCAUUAAGCAUCCCGCCUGGGGAGUACGGUCGCAAGGCUG